AAACGUAGGUGGCAAGCGUUGUCCGGAAUUACUGGGUGUAAAGGGAGCGCAGGCGGGGUGCCAAGUUGGGCGUGAAAUCUAUAGGCUCAACCCAUAGCGUGCGUUCAAAACUGGCGCUCUUGAGUGAUGGAGAGGCAGGCGGAAUUUCCGGUGUAGCGGUGGAAUGAGUAGAUAUCGGGAGGAACACCAGUGGGGAAGGCGGCCUGCUGGACAUUAACUGACGCUGAGGCUCGAAAGUGUGGGGAGCAAACAGGAUUAGAUACCCUGGUAGUCCACACCGUAAACGAUGAUUACUAGGUGUGGGGGGAUAGACCCCCUCCGUGCCGCAGCUAACGCAAUAAGUAAUCCACCUGGGGAGUACGGCCGCAAGGCUGAAACUCAAAUGAAUUGGCGGGG
Molecule: ribosomal RNA, 396 nt
Filed under: uncultured bacterium
Lineage: Bacteria
Description: partial 16S ribosomal RNA
Rfam family: Bacterial small subunit ribosomal RNA
Source: RNAcentral